UUGCUUUGUCAGGAAAGAUGCUAAAAGUGGAACAAUACAGAGAAGAUUAGCAUGGCCCCUGUUCAAGGAUAACAUGCAAAUUGGUGAAGUGUUCCAUUUUGCA
Molecule: small nuclear RNA, 103 nt
Organism: Molossus molossus (Pallas's mastiff bat)
Lineage: Eukaryota; Metazoa; Chordata; Mammalia; Chiroptera; Molossidae
Source: RefSeq, a predicted model, not a curated record